AUGAGGAAGCAGAGGCACAGGAAGCUUAAUUGACUUGUCCAACAAGGCUUUAAAGGUGGUGAUCGAGCAUCAAUUUUGAGGUGGAGGAAUUCAGGUUACUUUGAGAGUUUGAGAGAUCGGGAGGUCAUGGAUCCAUUGAGCAAAGCUGACCAGCACCCAGAGGAGCUUCUACUUUGAAAAGGAUAAUCAUAGAAACGAGAAAGAAGUCAAGUACCUGUUUUGUUUUGCCAGAUGAUAGAGAUCAUGAAUCAAAAAUCAGAAAACUGCUUUAUCUGCAGCCCUGCAAACUGCUUUAUGUGCUGAUAAGAUUUAAGUAUUGGCCUCUCAGCAGAUUGUAUCAAUUGUGAUAAAUUAAGUUACUGAAUCCUCUUCUGAAUCCUUUUGUCUUUUUAUGUUUAGCAUAUGUUAUGCAUAGAAAUAAAAUGCCUGUCUUAUACCUAA
Antechinus flavipes (yellow-footed antechinus) is the source of this 441-nucleotide long non-coding RNA. RefSeq lists it as uncharacterized. Lineage: Eukaryota; Metazoa; Chordata; Mammalia; Dasyuromorphia; Dasyuridae. The transcript has 2 exons. The record is from RefSeq and is a predicted model, not a curated record.